ACCUACGGGAGGCAGCAGUGGGGAAUAUUGGGCAAUGGGCGCAAGCCUGACCCAGCAACGCCGCGUGAAGGAAGAAGGCUUUCGGGUUGUAAACUUCUUUUAAGAGGGAAGAGAAGAAGACGGUACCUCUUGAAUAAGCCACGGCUAACUACGUGCCAGCAGCCGCGGUAAUACGUAUGGUGCAAGCGUUAUCCGGAUUUACUGGGUGUAAAGGGAGCGCAGGCGGCACGGCAAGCCUGAUGUGAAAGCCCGCGGCCCAACCGCGGGACUGCAUUGGGAACUACCGGGCUGGCGCGCCGGAGAGG
Molecule: ribosomal RNA, 305 nt
Filed under: uncultured bacterium
Lineage: Bacteria
Description: bacterial SSU rRNA
Rfam family: Bacterial small subunit ribosomal RNA
Source: RNAcentral